RNAcentral lists this ribosomal RNA (256 nucleotides) under Chloropicon mariensis. Its description in RNAcentral is "partial Bacterial large subunit ribosomal RNA". It matches the Rfam family "Bacterial large subunit ribosomal RNA", at positions 1956 to 2211 of the family's 2925-position model. The record is from RNAcentral. Lineage: Eukaryota; Viridiplantae; Chlorophyta; Chloropicophyceae; Chloropicales; Chloropicaceae.
GUAGCGAAAUUCCUUGUCGGGUAAUUUCCGACCCGCACGAAAGGCGUAAUGAUUUGGAUACUGUCUCAGAGAGGGGCUCGGUGAAAUAGACUUGUCUGUGAAGAUGCGGACUACCUGCACCAGGACAGAAAGACCCUAUGAAGCUUUACUGUAACUUGAAAUUGAAAUUGGACUUUAGUUGCGCAGUAUAGGUGGGAGGCAUUGAGUUUAUUCUUGCGGGAAUUUAGGAGCCAUCAGUGAGAUACCACUCUGCUAA